UGCCGAAGGGUGACGAUGCGACGCCGCGUGAGCGAAGAAGGCCCUAGGGUUGUAAAGCUCUGUCAGGGGUUAAGAAAUGUAGAUAGGUUAAUACCCUGUUUAUUUGACAAAAGCCCCAAAGGAAGCCACGGCUAACUCUGUGCCAGCAGCCGCGGUAAUACAGAGGUGGCAAGCGUUGUUCGGUAUUAUUGGGCGUAAAGAGCACGUAGGUGGUUUUGUAAGUCAGAUGUGAAAGCCUUCUGUUCAAAGGAAGAACGGCAUCUGAAACUGCAAAUCUUGAGCGUAGGAGGGGAGAGUGGAACUUCUGGUGGAGCGGUGAAAUGCGUAGAUAUCAGAAGGAACGUCGGCGGCGAAAGCGACUCUCUGGCCUAUUACUGACACUGAGUGUGCGAAAGUUAGGGGAGCAAACGGGAUUAGAUACCCCGGUAGUCCUAACCGUAAACGAUGGGCACUAAGUAGAGGGGU
RNAcentral lists this ribosomal RNA (465 nucleotides) under uncultured Planctomycetota bacterium. RNAcentral's name for it is "bacterial SSU rRNA". It matches the Rfam family "Bacterial small subunit ribosomal RNA", at positions 372 to 829 of the family's 1533-position model. Lineage: Bacteria; Pseudomonadati; Planctomycetota. The record is from RNAcentral.